CGUCCCCCUCUCUCCUAUGCAUCCACAACCACCGCCCUAUCCCUCCCUCGGAACUCGAUCCGCCGCCGCCCCCAAACCUGAGCGCCCUACUCCUAGAGACCGGCGUCGCCGCGGCCAGGAGAGUCUCGCAACGCGGGGCCGCACCCGCGACCUGCUACCCCGCGCCCGCGCCAACUCCAGCAGUUGGCUUGCUCGCUUGUUGUUCCAGGUGAGUGCUGGUGGAGCUCGAAUCGGGGAGGAGGAAGGCUGCAGAUCCGGCAGGCGAGGAGGCUAGCCGUGGGUUGCAAGAAGGCGGUGGUGGUGUGUGCGCUCGUCGGCGUCCUCGGCGUCCUCUCCGCUGUGCUCAGCUUCGCCGCCGAGGGCACCCGCGUCAAGACAAUGUUGAUAUGGGAACUACGUGUGGUAAAUACUUCCAAGUUUGCUGGCUGAGUAUCAUCGACCCUGGCAAUUCCGACAUCAUCAACGCAACACCAGCUGUACAAAAUAACUAAAAAUUCCCAGACUGUACCCUAUUCAAACUAUGCUGCAUAUCAGCACAUGCUAAUUGUUAAUGUGCAUGCUCAACCAGAAAUCAGAAUUGCCUCUGUAAGAUGUUGUUUGUCAGUCGUCUAACAGCAACUUGGUUCUGAUUAUCUUCUUA
This is a long non-coding RNA of Triticum urartu, 640 nucleotides long. RefSeq lists it as uncharacterized. NCBI's taxonomy places the organism in Eukaryota, Viridiplantae, Streptophyta, Magnoliopsida, Poales, Poaceae. The record is from RefSeq and is a predicted model, not a curated record.